Molecule: ribosomal RNA, 200 nt
Filed under: uncultured bacterium
Lineage: Bacteria
Description: partial 16S ribosomal RNA
Rfam family: Bacterial small subunit ribosomal RNA
Source: RNAcentral
GACGAACGCUGGCGGCGUGCCUAAUACAUGCAAGUAGAACGCUGAAGGAGGAGCUUGCUUCUCUGGAUGAGUUGCGAACGGGUGAGUAACGCGUAGGUAACCUGCCUGGUAGCGGGGGAUAACUAUUGGAAACGAUAGCUAAUACCGCAUAAUAGUAGUUGUUGCAUGACAACUGUUUGAAAGGUGCAAUUGCAUCACUA